GCUGGCGGCACGCCUAACACAUGCAAGUCGAACGAAGUAGCAAUACUUAGUGGCAGACGGGUGAGUAACAUGUAGGUAUCUGCCCUUUGGCCUGGAAUAACACGAGGAAACUUGUGCUAAUACCGGAUAAGUCUUUACGGAGAAAGCUUUAUGCACCAUUGGAUGAGCCUGCACUUGAUUAGUUUGUUGGUGGGGUAAUGGCCUACCAAGACUGUGAUCAAUAGCUGAUUUGAGAGGAUGAUCAGCCACAUUGGGACUGAGACACGGCCCAAACUCCUACGGGAGGCAGCAGUGGGGAAUCUUGCACAAUGGAGGAAACUCUGAUGCAGCGAUGCCGCGUGAGUGAAGAAGGCCCUUGGGUUGUAAAGCUCUUUCGUCGGGGAAGAAAAUGACUGUACCCGAAUAAGAAGGUCCGGCUAACUUCGUGCCAGCAGCCGCGGUAAUACGAAGGGACCUAGCGUAGUUCGGAAUUACUGGGCUUAAAGAGUUCGUAGGUGGUUGAAAAAGUUAGUGGUGAAAUCCCAGAGCUUAACUCUGGAACUGCCAUUAAAACUUUUCAGCUAGAGUAUGAUAGAGGAAAGCAGAAUUUCUAGUGUAGAGGUGAAAUUCGUAGAUAUUAGAAAGAAUACCAAUUGCGAAGGCAGCUUUCUGGAUCAUUACUGACACUGAGGAACGAAAGCAUGGGUAGCGAAGAGGAUUA
This 700-nucleotide ribosomal RNA is filed under the name uncultured Pseudomonadota bacterium. RNAcentral describes it as "bacterial SSU rRNA". It matches the Rfam family "Bacterial small subunit ribosomal RNA", at positions 35 to 780 of the family's 1533-position model. The record is from RNAcentral. Lineage: Bacteria; Pseudomonadati; Pseudomonadota.